RNAcentral lists this ribosomal RNA (468 nucleotides) under uncultured bacterium. RNAcentral's name for it is "partial 16S ribosomal RNA". It matches the Rfam family "Bacterial small subunit ribosomal RNA", at positions 28 to 507 of the family's 1533-position model. The record is from RNAcentral.
GACGAACGCUGGCGGCGUGCUUAACACAUGCAAGUCGAACGGAAAGGCCCUGCUUUUGUGGGUUGCUCGAUUGGCGAACGGGUGAGUAACACGUGAUUAACCUGCCCUUGACUUUGGGAUAACUUCAGGAAACUGGGGCUCAUACCGGAUAGGAGCUCCUGCUCCAUGGUGGGGGUUGGAAAGUUUCGGCGGUUGGGGAUGGACUCGCGGGUUAUCAGCUUGUUGGUGGGGUAGUGGCUUACCAAGGCUUUGACGGGUAGCCGGCCUGAGAGGGUGACCGGCGACAAUGGGACUGAGGUACGGCCCAGAAUCCUACGGGAGGCAGCAGGGGGGAAUAUGACAGAAUGGGCGGACGCCAGAGGCAGCAACGCCGCGUGCGGGAUGACGGCCUUCGGGUUGUAAACCGAUUUCGCCUGUGACGAAGCGUGAGUGACGGUAAUGGGUAAAGAAGCACCGGCUAACUACGUG